CCUGGCUCAGAACGAACGCUGGCGGCGUGGAUAAGACAUGCAAGUCGAGCGGGACAUUCAGGGUAGCAAUAUUCUGGAUGUUCAGCGGCGCAAGGGUGCGUAACACGUGGGUAAUCUGCCGUGAAGCCUGGAAUAACUCGCUGAAAGGCGAGCUAAUACCGGAUGUGAAGUUUGGAAGGCAUCUUUUGGACUUCAAAGCUGGGGACCGUAAGGCCUGGCACUUCACGAUGAGCCCGCGGCCUAUCAGCUAGUUGGUGAGGUAACGGCUCACCAAGGCUAAGACGGGUAGCUGGUCUGAGAGGACGACCAGCCACACUGGAACUGAGACACGGUCCAGACACCUACGGGUGGCAGCAGUCGAGAAUUUUUCACAAUGGGCGAAAGCCUGAUGGAGCGACGCCGCGUGGGGGAUGAAUGGCUUCGGCCCGUAAACCCCUGUCAUUUGCGAACAAGUUGUUUCACCCAACACGUGAAACAUUGAUAGUAGCGAAAGAGGAAGGGACGGCUAACUCUGUGCCAGCAGCCGCGGUAAUACAGAGGUCCCGAGCGUUGUUCGGAUUCACUGGGCGUAAGGGGUGCGUAGGCGGUCGGGUAAGUCUGACGUGAAAUCUUCAAGCUCAACUUGGAAACUGCGUC
RNAcentral lists this ribosomal RNA (636 nucleotides) under uncultured soil bacterium. RNAcentral describes it as "bacterial SSU rRNA". It matches the Rfam family "Bacterial small subunit ribosomal RNA", at positions 18 to 627 of the family's 1533-position model. The record is from RNAcentral.